This 253-nucleotide ribosomal RNA is filed under the name uncultured bacterium. RNAcentral's name for it is "partial 16S ribosomal RNA". It matches the Rfam family "Bacterial small subunit ribosomal RNA", at positions 524 to 776 of the family's 1533-position model. The record is from RNAcentral.
UACGAAGGGGGCUAGCGUUGCUCGGAUUGACUGGGCGUAAAGGGCGCGUAGGCGGUUCGUACAGUCAGACGUGAAAUUCCUGGGCUCAACCUGGGGGCUGCGUUUGAUACGUGCGGACUUGAGUGCGGAAGAGGGUCGUGGAAUUCCCAGUGUAGAGGUGAAAUUCGUAGAUAUUGGGAAGAACACCGGUGGCGAAGGCGACCAUCUGGACGACAACUGACGCUGAGGCGCGAAAGCGUGGGGAGCAAACAGG